AGCUUUCUCUAUCUCCUUUAUACUUUAAUAAAACUUUAUUACACAAAAGCUCUGAGCGAUCAAGCCUCGUCUCUGGCCCCGGAUUGAAUUCUUCUCCUCCGGGGGCCAAGAAUCCCCGUGUAUUUGCAUGAUUCAACUACAACCUUUCAUCUUGGGGGCUCGUCCGGGAUCCUUCAGGACAAGGGAACCAGUGCUCUGUUAGCGGAGCUUGUGGCUCUGACUCGAGCUCUAGAGUUAAACAAAGGGCAGGGGAUAGGCCUGAUAAUCUAUGUGAGUCUACUUCUGCUGACUCCAAAUAUCCUGAGUCUGCCGUUGGAUCCUCAAGACAAUGUCUUCCUGUCCUGGGCUCACUCCUAUGC
Bubalus bubalis (water buffalo) is the source of this 359-nucleotide long non-coding RNA. RefSeq lists it as uncharacterized. The transcript is spliced from 2 exons. The record is from RefSeq and is a predicted model, not a curated record. Lineage: Eukaryota; Metazoa; Chordata; Mammalia; Artiodactyla; Bovidae.